This 513-nucleotide ribosomal RNA is filed under the name uncultured bacterium. RNAcentral's name for it is "partial 16S ribosomal RNA". It matches the Rfam family "Bacterial small subunit ribosomal RNA", at positions 28 to 523 of the family's 1533-position model. The record is from RNAcentral.
GACGAACGCUGGCGGCAUGCCUAAUACAUGCAAGUCGAACGCGCAGCGAAAGGUGCUUGCACCUUUCAAGCGAGUGGCGAACGGGUGAGUAACACGUGGAUAACCUGCCUCAAGGCUGGGGAUAACAUUUGGAAACAGAUGCUAAUACCGAAUAAAACUUAGUAUCGCAUGAUACAAAGUUAAAAGGCGCUACGGCGUCACCUAGAGAUGGAUCCGCGGUGCAUUAGGUAGUUGGUGGGGUAAAGGCUUACCAAGACGAUGAUGCAAAGCCGAGGUGAGAGACGGAGCGGCCACAUGGGGCCUGAGACACGGCCCAAACUCCUACGGGAGGCUGCAGUAGGGAAUCUUCCACAAUGGGCGAAAGCCUGAUGGAGCAACGCCGCGUGUGUGAUGAAGGCUUUCGGGCCGUAAAGCACUGUUGUAUGGGAAGAAAUGCUAAAAUAGGGAAUGAUUUUAGUUUGACGGUACCAUACCAGAAAGGGACGGCUAAAUACGUGCCAGCCGCCGCCGUAA